Molecule: long non-coding RNA, 1294 nt
Organism: Armigeres subalbatus
Lineage: Eukaryota; Metazoa; Arthropoda; Insecta; Diptera; Culicidae
Exons: 4
Source: RefSeq, a predicted model, not a curated record
CGCACAUAUGGGUAAAUUUCAUUUGACCUAUUUUAUUGGUAAAAUUUACCUAGAAAAUCAGUAAUAUUUACUCAUAUUCUGAACAAACCGACUUUACCCAUAUUUGAGUAAUUUCAUUUACCCAUAUUUGGUUGAAAAAAUAAACAUAAACAAAUCCGGUUUAUGGCUGCCGUGUCGCUGUCGAAAAAAGUUUUCACUCUUUCAACGUGAUUGCGAUUACAAACAAAGAUGUAGUUCGUAAACAAAAGGAAAAUGAGUUCUGACAAUCGGUAGCAGCAGAUUGACCUGCUUGCAAACGGCCUCGUCGAUGGGACAGUAGAUUGCCUGAACAGGAAACAAUUUCCGAAUCAUCGUUAUCGUUCCAUCAUCGUUAAUUCCUGGGAACAUCGGAUUCAACUAUAGUAUUGUGUAUCCGGAAUAAAUUUAUACCGCUUUUUAUACCGAAGUUGGAUUUUUCUCCAGAUACAAGAAACUUUCCCAACUUCGGAAGUAGUGCGCUGGAUUCGCCUAAAGAUGCGCUAAACAACGCAUCAAUUAGUUUGACAAAAAAAACUUCGGAAGAAAGUUCGGUUCGGAAGUCCCGACUUCCGAAUUCUAACUUGGUGCUACGCCGACAAUACAUUGUGCUGUCGUCAUUGCACCUGGUUGAUAUUGAUCUGAUCCGAAGGUCAUCGCAUAGCCACAAAUAAGACGAUCUUUCUACGCCAUCGCUCCCCAUGAUAACCACAAAGGCCAUCGUUUUCCGCCUUCAUUAGUGGGAGGCAUUGAAGCUUUUACCAAUAUCUUCCGUUGUCCGUGCACAAACGACAGCUACUACUAUUCCGGAAAUCUUUUAUAUGAAUUGAAUCGUGAAAUUAUCUUGGUUGACAAGGUGGUGCAAACAUGUGCAGAGCCAUGGUUAAAGUGCUCUUCAAAAUCUACGAGAGUAGCGGACCAACGGUCCUAGGGGCACGGGCCCAUAGAAUGCAGAAACUCGCCAAAUCAACAGCGAUCACUACCGGCCGCCCGCUUUACCGUGUUCACCACCAUACGAAUUAUAGAAAUCUGUUCUGGUUACAUGCUGCAAGCAGGAAUCAACACUUCAUGAUGCCAUUAGGAUAUUUUGAUUGCAGAGGAAUGGCACUUUCAUCGCUUGAACCGGGAAUCGACCACAUUGGAUUGAUCAAUAAGCAUAAAUUCAAGUCCCCGGGAUAGGGAGACAGCGCUGCGAGACCGUAGAUUUUUUUUUGAAUAGGCAAUGAAUUUUCAGAUGGUUGAUGAAUAUUCAAAUAAAUUUGCUAUUGUUUUUCUUCAG